Non-coding RNA from Schistosoma mansoni, 45 nucleotides. The record is from Rfam. NCBI's taxonomy places the organism in Eukaryota, Metazoa, Platyhelminthes, Trematoda, Strigeidida, Schistosomatidae.
UUACAACUGACGAGUCCAAAAUAGGACGAAACGCGCGUCCUGGAU